RNAcentral lists this ribosomal RNA (497 nucleotides) under uncultured bacterium. RNAcentral's name for it is "partial 16S ribosomal RNA". It matches the Rfam family "Bacterial small subunit ribosomal RNA", at positions 28 to 507 of the family's 1533-position model. The record is from RNAcentral.
GAUGAACGCUGGCGGCGUGCCUAAUACAUGCAAGUCGAGCGAACAGACGCGGAGCUUGCUCCUCUGACGUUAGCGGAGGACGGGAGAGUCACACGUGGAUACCCUACCUAUAAGACUGGGAUAACUUCGGGAAACCGGAGCAUAUACCGGAUGAUCUAUUGAUCCGCGUGGGUCAAUAGUGAAAGACGGUUUUGGUGUCAGGUAUAGAUGGAUCCGCGCCGCAUGAGCUAGUUGGUAGGGUCACGGCUUACCAAGGCAACGAUGCGUAGCCGACCUGAGAGGGUGAUAGGCCACACGGGAGGUGAGACACGGACCAGGCUCCUACGAUACGCAGCAGUAGGGAAUCGUCCGCAGCGGUCGAGAGCCUUGCGGAGUAGCGCCACGUGAGAGAUGAAGGUCUUCGGAGCGGAAAGCUCUGUUAUGAGGUAAGAACAAAUGUGGAAGUAGCUGUGGAGGUCGUGACGGUACUGAAUCAGAAAGCCCCGGCUAACUACGUG